This 529-nucleotide ribosomal RNA is filed under the name uncultured Burkholderia sp. RNAcentral's name for it is "bacterial SSU rRNA". It matches the Rfam family "Bacterial small subunit ribosomal RNA", at positions 9 to 531 of the family's 1533-position model. Lineage: Bacteria; Pseudomonadati; Pseudomonadota; Betaproteobacteria; Burkholderiales; Burkholderiaceae. The record is from RNAcentral.
GAGUUUGAUCAUGGCUCAGAUUGAACGCUGGCGGCAUGCCUUACACAUGCAAGUCGAACGGCAGCACGGGUGCUUGCACCUGGUGGCGAGUGGCGAACGGGUGAGUAAUACAUCGGAACAUGUCCUGUAGUGGGGGAUAGCCCGGCGAAAGCCGGAUUAAUACCGCAUACGAUCUGAGGAUGAAAGCGGGGGACCUUCGGGCCUCGCGCUAUAGGGUUGGCCGAUGGCUGAUUAGCUAGUUGGUGGGGUAAAGGCCUACCAAGGCGACGAUCAGUAGCUGGUCUGAGAGGACGACCAGCCACACUGGGACUGAGACACGGCCCAGACUCCUACGGGAGGCAGCAGUGGGGAAUUUUGGACAAUGGGCGAAAGCCUGAUCCAGCAAUGCCGCGUGUGUGAAGAAGGCCUUCGGGUUGUAAAGCACUUUUGUCCGGAAAGAAAUCCUUGGUUCUAAUAUAGCCGGGGGAUGACGGUACCGGAAGAAUAAGCACCGGCUAACUACGUGCCAGCAGCCGCGGUAAUACGUANG